UGAGGAACAUGACCUUCGGCGGGGGAAUAAGCCGGCCCAACGGCCGGGUAAUACCGCGUACGACCUUUUGGGGACAUCCCGAGGGGUGAAGCAGCAAUGCGCCGAAAGAGUGCCUCGCGGCCUAUCAGCUAGUUGGUGGGGUAAUAGCUCACCAAGGCGAUGACGGGUAGCCGGCCUGAGAGGGUGACCGGCCACACUGGGACUGAGACACGGCCCAGACCUCCGUACGGGAGGCAG
RNAcentral lists this ribosomal RNA (237 nucleotides) under uncultured bacterium. RNAcentral's name for it is "partial 16S ribosomal RNA". It matches the Rfam family "Bacterial small subunit ribosomal RNA", at positions 118 to 351 of the family's 1533-position model. The record is from RNAcentral.